GUUUUGGUUUGGUUUUUUUAAGGCUUUGGGAAACUGUAAAAAGCAGAAUCACUGCUUCCCAAACACAGUAAUUGUGAAGACCAGACAUCCCUUUGACAAGGAGUAGCUGCAAGUUUAAGGAAAAACACUGCAUCUUCUCUUGUCAUGGGAAAAAGCUAUAGGAGAAGAAAACCUGACAAUAGACAGAAGGAUUUCAUGCUGUUAUUGAAGACAGAGGAAAAGCAAGAAAGGAAAUAGAUUCAGUUUGGUCAUUGAGGUUGGAUCAGAUCUCCUGCAAGAGAGGGAUAAAAGUGGUGAGGACUGAGAAAAGCAAGUCUCAGGAAAAGGAAGGUUUUGCUGGGAAUAUAUCAGAAGUUCUAGACGUGAAGUUGAGCAGCUGGCUGAGCAGAGGGGAUGUGCACACACAGCAUCAAACAUUGCUGCACUCAUGCUUUGAAGGGGAAAGGAAAACAACCAAGAGCAAGAAACACAGGGAGGCUCAUGGCUCUGGAUGAGGAUUUCUUGGCUGGUUUUACUCUGGGCUUCAUAGCAUUCCUGUGCAGGCAAUCACAUGUAGGCAGCUCAAUCUUCACAUGCUCAGCUGCUGGUUGUCCUUCUGGGAUGGUUCCCAACGGAGGAAAAACUCUGUGGGGAGGUGAGGGGGCCAAGGAAAACUGCUCUGCCAGAUUUUUGAAAAAUCUUCCACAAACGUUGUGAACCUAGGAUGAGUGUCAGAAAUCUGGCUUUUGGUGGAAUUGAGGUAAAACUUGCUGUGAGACUACACUUGGCUCACCUGGGUAGGAGCAUUUAGGUAGGGAGGAGCUGCAGUGUGCAG
This is a non-coding RNA of Cyanistes caeruleus (blue tit), 814 nucleotides long. Lineage: Eukaryota; Metazoa; Chordata; Aves; Passeriformes; Paridae. The record is from RefSeq and is a predicted model, not a curated record.